Thunnus maccoyii (southern bluefin tuna) is the source of this 1753-nucleotide long non-coding RNA. RefSeq lists it as uncharacterized. Lineage: Eukaryota; Metazoa; Chordata; Actinopteri; Scombriformes; Scombridae. The transcript has 3 exons. The record is from RefSeq and is a predicted model, not a curated record.
AUUACGUAAAUGCUUUGAUGUGUGGUUUCCUCUGAUGAACCGUAUCUGUCAUGUGACUUCACCAGUCUACAUUAAUCAUGUUACUAUUACCUGUCCAUAUUGAUCAUGUGAUUACUUGCCAACAUAUAUAAGAAGCAGCCUAAGGGCGACCAUUUUGUACUUGCCCUGAUGAAGGUCUUAACGGCUGAAAAGCAUAGGCAUGUUUUUAACUAUGACUAAGAAGCCAUGAAAUAUUAAAGGCUUUUUAAAUUCAUUACAAUCUUGAGUGCCUCAGAUCUUUUCAAUAACUCAUUACUGUCUGAAUGAUUAGAAUUUGAUUUUAUUUUCAAAAACAGCGGGCACAUGGUUGUUCAGAUUACAAGUUCAGCUGAAGCUGAAUGAGGCUUCAGCAGUGUGAGUUGGUGUGAGAGUGGCUAUUAGCCCAGAAAAAACACUGGCAAUAAACCUACAUGACUACCGAGACAUACAUACCCACUCUAUCUGACUAACUGACACUGCUGAAGCCUCAAAUCACCAACAUAGUUUUGAGUAGAGGGGGACCAAGAACCAACCUCUGGGGCUCAAAAAUGAAGCCAACGCAGGAGUGCCAAAAACUGCAGUUCCUUGAAUAGCCACUUGAGGCUCCAAAAGCGAAUCAAUCCUCAUAGACCCCCUUGUAAAGAUGCCCAACUUUACAGCAGAAAUAAACAUGUACAAUCAAGUUGUUUUAAUCCUUCACCUCUCAUGUUCACACAUGUCAUUUGAUACAUUAUUAUAAAGACGUACAUUAUUCCAAAGAAAUUGAUCUUAACAAAUCAAAUCAAAUUUUCACAAAGUAAUUAUUUUAUAUUCUCAAGAGCUCAAGUUUAUUAUGUUGUGAUCAGUUUUUUUUUUACAGAUUGAAUGUUGAAAUCAUUCAUGUCUUCUCUGGGUUUCCAAUAAAGUCGAUGGCUUCCAUUUGUGUUUCACAUUUCCAGGAUAGACUGAAGGAGAGAAAAGCCUGGUGGGAAAGUUUUCCACAAGGAGGGAAAAAGAACUUAAGUCCGAGAGAAAGAAAACUGAGCUCUGAAAUUAAAAUCAAACUACGGCUAACGGGAAACCUAUGACGAAUACUGAUUCUAUCUGCUAAUAAAAUGUACACACAGUUCACUGCCUUGUAGUUAUCAGAGCACUAAACCAUAACUUAGUACAAACUAGUCCUUUAUCAAUACUACUGUGUGUGAUGUUCAUAACUCCUAAUGAAAUGUAAUCCUCUCCAGAAUAAAACAUAUCUAUGGAUUGUUGCAUUUGCUUCAAGUUUACAGCAGUGCCACAAUGUUGUGACAGACCCAGGAGUCCUCUCCCUUCUCCAGCUGUGACACCAGUGACACUGAGUCCUGCUCCCUGCUGGUCAACAGUGCCUCACUGCUCCGCUGGCAGCAGGGCGGCCAGAAGGCCUCACCAGUCCGUGGACACGUCCUCAGGAAGACCAAGGAAUGAGAGCAGAAGAACAGCACAUAAACCUCUCAACCCCUCACAUCAGUCUCAUGUUGUUUCCUUUUUUUUCUUUUUAAGAAAUUGUGUUUAUAUUUAUUUAAACUGUUCAUACAGUCUGAGAGUGUUUUGAGGACACAAGCAUAGCAUUCACAUGAACCAGAACAAGUUGCCUGUUUUAGUAAACUGUAAGUACCACAACAUACAGAAAUAGCAACCUUUUGAAACUUUUAUACUAUGGAGCAUGUUUAGUGCACAAACUUUCUUCUUCAAGCAACCACCAGUCUCUUUGUUUCCUUUU